GGAGGGUGCGAGCGUUGUUCGGAAUUACUGGGCGUAAAGGGCGCGUAGGCGGUCUUAUAAGUCAUAUGUGAAAGCCCACGGCUCAACCGUGGAAGUGCAUGUGAAACUGUAAGACUUGAGUAUGGGAGAGGAAAGUGGAAUUCCCGGUGUAGAGGUGAAAUUCGUAGAUAUCGGGAGGAAUACCGGUGGCGAAGGCGACUUUCUGGACCAAUACUGACGCUGAGGCGCGAAAGCGUGGGUAGCAAACAGGAUUAGAUACCCUGGUAGUCCACAGCUGUAAACGAUGAUAACUAGGUAUAGGGGGUGUUGACCCCUUCUGUGCCGCAGCUAACGCAUUAAGUUAUCCGCCUGGGGAGUACGGUCGCAAGAUUA
This 372-nucleotide ribosomal RNA is filed under the name uncultured bacterium. Its description in RNAcentral is "bacterial SSU rRNA". It matches the Rfam family "Bacterial small subunit ribosomal RNA", at positions 527 to 896 of the family's 1533-position model. The record is from RNAcentral.